UACGUAGGGUGCGAGCGUUAUCCGGAUUCACUGGGUUUAAAGGGUGCGUAGGUGGGCAGGUAAGUCAGUGGUGAAAUCUCCGGGCUUAACCCGGAAACUGCCAUUGAUACUAUCUGUCUUGAAUACCGUGGAGGUGAGCGGAAUAUGUCAUGUAGCGGUGAAAUGCUUAGAUAUGACAUAGAACACCAAUUGCGAAGGCAGCUCACUACGCGAAUAUUGACACUGAGGCACGAAAGCGUGGGGAUCAAACAGG
This 253-nucleotide ribosomal RNA is filed under the name uncultured bacterium. RNAcentral describes it as "partial 16S ribosomal RNA". It matches the Rfam family "Bacterial small subunit ribosomal RNA", at positions 524 to 776 of the family's 1533-position model. The record is from RNAcentral.